AACGAACGCUGGCGGCAGGCCUAACACAUGCAAGUCGAACGCUCGUAGCAAUACGGGAGUGGCAGACGGGUGAGUAACACGUGGGAACCUUCCCUAUGGUUCGGAAUAGCUCAGGGAAACUUGGGGGUAAUACCGGAUAAGCCCUUCGGGGAAAGGAUUUAUCGCCAUUGGAUGGGCCCGCGUCGGAUUAGCUAGUUGGUGAGGUAACGGCUCACCAAGGCAACGAUCCGUAGCUGGUCUGAGAGGAUGAUCAGCCACACUGGGACUGAGACACGGCCCAGACUCCUACGGGAGGCAGCAGUGGGGAAUAUUGGACAAUGGGCGGCAAGCCUGAUCCAGCCAUGCCGCGUGAGUGACGAAGGUCUUCGGAUUGUAAAACUCUUUUGGCGGGGACGAUAAUGACGGUACCGCAGAAUAAGCCCCGGCUAACUUCGUGCC
This 438-nucleotide ribosomal RNA is filed under the name uncultured bacterium. RNAcentral describes it as "bacterial SSU rRNA". It matches the Rfam family "Bacterial small subunit ribosomal RNA", at positions 29 to 509 of the family's 1533-position model. The record is from RNAcentral.